AUUGAACGCUGGCGGCAGGCCUAACACAUGCAAGUCGAACGGUAACAGGAAGCAGCUUGCUGCUUUGCUGACGAGUGGCGGACGGGUGAGUAAUGUCUGGGAAACUGCCUGAUGGAGGGGGAUAACUACUGGAAACGGUAGCUAAUACCGCAUAACGUCGCAAGACCAAAGAGGGGGACCUUCGGGCCUCUUGCCAUCGGAUGUGCCCAGAUGGGAUUAGCUUGUUGGUGGGGUAACGGCUCACCAAGGCGACGAUCCCUAGCUGGUCUGAGAGGAUGACCAGCCACACUGGAACUGAGACACGCUCCAGACUCCUACGGGAGGCAGCAGUGGGGAAUAUUGCACAAUGGGCGCAAGCCUGAUGCAGCCAUGCCGCGUGUAUGAAGAAGGCCUUCGGGUUGUAAAGUACUUUCAGCGGGGAGGAAGGGAGUAAAGUUAAUACCUUUACUCAUUGACGUUACCCGCAGAAGAAGCACCGGCUAACUCCGUG
This 490-nucleotide ribosomal RNA is filed under the name uncultured bacterium. Its description in RNAcentral is "partial 16S ribosomal RNA". It matches the Rfam family "Bacterial small subunit ribosomal RNA", at positions 30 to 507 of the family's 1533-position model. The record is from RNAcentral.